Molecule: ribosomal RNA, 447 nt
Filed under: uncultured soil bacterium
Lineage: Bacteria
Description: bacterial SSU rRNA
Rfam family: Bacterial small subunit ribosomal RNA
Source: RNAcentral
AGAACGAACGCUGGCGGCAUGCCUAAUACAUGCAAGUCGAACGAACUCUUCGGAGUUAGUGGCGCACGGGUGCGUAACGCGUGGGAAUCUGCCCCUUGGUUCGGAAUAACAGUUGGAAACGACUGCUAAUACCGGAUGAUGACGAAAGUCCAAAGAUUUAUCGCCCAGGGAUGAGCCCGCGUAGGAUUAGCUAGUUGGUGAGGUAAAGGCUCACCAAGGCGACGAUCCUUAGCUGGUCUGAGAGGAUGAUCAGCCACACUGGGACUGAGACACGGCCCAGACUCCUACGGGAGGCAGCAGUAGGGAAUAUUGGACAAUGGGCGAAAGCCUGAUCCAGCAAUGCCGCGUGAGUGAUGAAGGCCUUAGGGUUGUAAAGCUCUUUACCCGAGAUGAUAAUGACAGUAUCGGAGAAUAAGCCCCGGACUAACCUCCGUGCCAGCACGCCGC